Molecule: ribosomal RNA, 520 nt
Filed under: uncultured Diversispora
Lineage: Eukaryota; Fungi; Glomeromycota; Glomeromycetes; Diversisporales; Diversisporaceae
Description: SSU rRNA
Rfam family: Eukaryotic small subunit ribosomal RNA
Source: RNAcentral
AGCAGCCGCGGUAAUUCCAGCUCCAAUAGCGUAUAUUAAAGUUGUUGCAGUUAAAAAGCUCGUAGUUGAACUUCGGGAUUUGCCCAUUGGUCAGGCUUAACUGUCUGCACUGGUGUGACGAGUUCCUACCUUCUGAGGAAUCUCCAUGUCAUUCAGUUGGUGUGGGGGGAAAUCAGGACUGUUACUUUGAAAAAUUAGAGUGUUUAAAGCAGGCAUCCGUCUGAAUACAUUAGCAUGGAAUAAUAAAAUAGGACGGUUUGGUUCUAUUUUGUUGGUUUCUAGGAUCACCGUAAUGAUUAAUAGGGAUAGUUGGGGGCAUUAGUAUUCAAUUGUCAGAGGUGAAAUUCUUGGAUUUAUUGAAGACUAACUACUGCGAAAGCAUUUGCCAAGGAUGUUUUCAUUAAUCAAGAACGAAAGUUAGGGGAUCGAAGACGAUCAGAUACCGUCGUAGUCUUAACCAUAAACUAUGCCGACUAGGGAUCGGAUGAAGUUUAAUUUUUAANGUACUCGUUCGGCACCG